UAGCUGGGACUAAAGGCGUACACCACCACACUCAGCUAGUUUUCUACAAAUUUUAAUAUUAUUUUAGUCUCACCACAGAAGUAAUAAUAGAAGUAGAAAAAAUAAUGUCUCCUAAAAACUACAUAACAAAAUAAUAAGUGUCCAAGAAAAGGUAUAUGCUAUGUGCUGCACAGUUUUGCCAAUAAAAAGUACCAGGGAGAUUCCAUGAUAACUACAAGUAAUUUGAUUCACUGAAGAUUCAUAAAGGCAUAAAUAUGAAAGUAACACUAGUAUGAUUUAAAAGCCAAUAUUAAUAUUUAUCCAAAUAAACCUUAACCAAAUUUUAUAUUUCCUUUAUUGGGGAAAGCAUUUUCUAAUGUGAUUUUCCUGUCACUAUGUUUCCAGUUCAUUUUCUUUCAGCCCCCACCCUGUCACAGUACUUAAUCAAUCCUUUGUUAAUGAGGUUAAACAAUUUUUAAAAAUUAACUAGCCAGGUCUAUGCUUCUCUCUGACCAACCUUGUAUUACCAACAUUAAAAAAGGUAGAUAAACCACUGCUAAAUUUUAAAAGUAAAUAAUAUGCAAAACUUGACUGAGUAAGAAAAUUAAUUUUACAAGAGGCCAAUUUACCUCGGUGGUAACAGUCAAGUUGUCAUCAUCUGGCUUAGGGCAUGAAUCAACACACAGUUCGCAAGUUGAUUUCUUUACAAAGUUUUUAACUGCCAGGUCAUAUUCAGCUUCUCCUUU
Cebus imitator (Panamanian white-faced capuchin) is the source of this 725-nucleotide long non-coding RNA. RefSeq lists it as uncharacterized. Lineage: Eukaryota; Metazoa; Chordata; Mammalia; Primates; Cebidae. The transcript is spliced from 2 exons. The record is from RefSeq and is a predicted model, not a curated record.